Molecule: ribosomal RNA, 485 nt
Filed under: Digitipes sp. B JJ-2012
Lineage: Eukaryota; Metazoa; Arthropoda; Chilopoda; Scolopendromorpha; Scolopendridae
Description: partial 16S ribosomal RNA
Rfam family: Bacterial large subunit ribosomal RNA
Source: RNAcentral
GGGCCUGCCAAUGAGUUAAUUAAUGGCCGCGGUAUUUUGACCGUGCGAAGGUAGCAUAAUCAAUAGUCUAUUAAAUGUGGUCUGGAAUGAAUGGUUUGACGGGGAGUAGCUUUUUUAUUCUUAUAACUGAAUUUUAAUUAUUAGUGAAAAUGCUAAUGUGGUUUAGAGGGACGAGAAGACCCUAUAGAGCUUUAUAUAAUUUAUUAGAUUUAGUGGUAUUAAUUCUUUUGUUUAUAUUUUGUUGGGGCGACAGUUGAUCUAAACAUUUACUAAAAUGACUAUAAUUAUAGGAUAUUUGAUCCAUUACUAGUGAUUAACAGACUAAGUUACCUUAGGGAUAACAGCAUAAUUUUAUUUUAGAGUUCUUAUCGAUGAUAAAGUUUGUGACCUCGAUGUUGGAUUAAGAGUCUUUUGGGGCGCAGUAGUUCUACAAAGUAGUCUGUUCGACUAUUGAAAUCUUACAUGAUCUGAGUUCAAACCGGAGA